GCCCUAGUGGCUUAGUGGUAUAGCAACAUAGUAUCUAAAGUACUAGAUUCUAUGUUAAAGCCUCGUAAGCUGUAGGUCGAGGGUUCAAAUCCCUCCUAGGGCU
This 103-nucleotide transfer RNA is filed under the name Candidatus Helarchaeota archaeon. RNAcentral describes it as "tRNA-Thr". It matches the Rfam family "tRNA". From Rfam's summary of the family: Transfer RNA (tRNA) molecules are approximately 80 nucleotides in length. Lineage: Archaea; Promethearchaeati; Candidatus Helarchaeota. The record is from RNAcentral.